GGUGGUGCAAAUGAUUAAGUUGCUCAGUUGCUAACUGAAAGGUUGGAGGUUCAAAUCCACCCACAGCCA
RNAcentral lists this transfer RNA (69 nucleotides) under Loxodonta africana (African savanna elephant). It matches the Rfam family "tRNA". From Rfam's summary of the family: Transfer RNA (tRNA) molecules are approximately 80 nucleotides in length. The record is from Rfam by way of RNAcentral. Lineage: Eukaryota; Metazoa; Chordata; Mammalia; Proboscidea; Elephantidae.